RNAcentral lists this ribosomal RNA (253 nucleotides) under uncultured bacterium. RNAcentral's name for it is "partial 16S ribosomal RNA". It matches the Rfam family "Bacterial small subunit ribosomal RNA", at positions 524 to 776 of the family's 1533-position model. The record is from RNAcentral.
UACGAAGGGGGCUAGCGUUGCUCGGAAUCACUGGGCGUAAAGGGUGCGUAGGCGGGUUUUUAAGUCAGGGGUGAAAUCCUGGAGCUCAACUCCAGAACUGCCUUUGAUACUGAAGAUCUUGAGUCCGGGAGAGGUGAGUGGAACUGCGAGUGUAGAGGUGAAAUUCGUAGAUAUUCGCAAGAACACCAGUGGCGAAGGCGGCAUACUGGCCCAUUACUGACGCUGAAGCUCGAAAGCGUGGGGAGCAAACAGG